AGCGGCGGACGGGUGCGUAAUGCUUAGGAAUCUGCCUAUUAGUGGGGGACAACAUCUCGAAAGGGAUGCUAAUACCGCAUACGUCCUACGGGAGAAAGCAGGGGAUCUUCGGACCUUGCGCUAAUAGAUGAGCCUAAGUCGGAUUAGCUAGUUGGUGGGGUAAAGGCCUACCAAGGCGACGAUCUGUAGCGGGUCUGAGAGGAUGAUCCGCCACACUGGGACUGAGACACGGCCCAGACUCCUACGGGAGGCAGCAGUGGGGAAUAUUGGACAAUGGGCGCAAGCCUGAUCCAGCCAUGCCGCGUGUGUGAAGAAGGCCUUAUGGUUGUAAAGCACUUUAAGCGAGGAGGAGGCUACUUUAGAUAAUACCUAGAGAUAGUGGACGUUACUCGCAGAAUAAGCACCGGCUAACUCUGUGCCAGCAGCCGCGGUAAUACAGAGGGUGCAAGCGUUAAUCGGAUUUACUGGGCGUAAAGCGCGCGUAGGCGGCUAAUUAAGUCAAAUGUGAAAUCCCCGAGCUUAACUUGGGAAUUGCAUUCGAUACUGGUUAGCUAGAGUGUGGGA
RNAcentral lists this ribosomal RNA (564 nucleotides) under Acinetobacter sp. RNAcentral describes it as "bacterial SSU rRNA". It matches the Rfam family "Bacterial small subunit ribosomal RNA", at positions 94 to 653 of the family's 1533-position model. Lineage: Bacteria; Pseudomonadati; Pseudomonadota; Gammaproteobacteria; Moraxellales; Moraxellaceae. The record is from RNAcentral.